RNAcentral lists this long non-coding RNA (1788 nucleotides) under Daucus carota (carrot). RNAcentral's name for it is "long non-coding RNA (DCAR_LNC000921)". The record is from RNAcentral. Lineage: Eukaryota; Viridiplantae; Streptophyta; Magnoliopsida; Apiales; Apiaceae.
UCGACUGAAGAGAAAGAAAGGGAUAGAGAGAGAUCGAGAGAGGAAGAGCCCGAGAAAGUUGAUCAAAACAUAUUUGGGCUACAUUUUACAGAUCAAUCAAGAUGGGGACUUCAAUCGAAAUUGGGGUUUUUUUAGUUUAAUUGGGGUUUUUUUGGUUAAUCCUCUGCAAGAGUUUAAUUGAAGUUCAUUUUUUGUUUCAGGGCUAAUUUGGUUGAUAUGGGUUUUAAUUGAAUUUUGCAUCUUUCGCUUCUAUAGUUCAAGGUACAUCCUCUCCUUGAUUUCAUGUAUAUAUGCUUUGUGUAUCACCAAUUUCUUUUGGGCUAUUGUAAACAUCAUUGGCAUAUGUAAUGGCUUAGAUGUGUGUUUACUUGAGUUUGUAUAUCGAUUAUUUGUUAUUAUUUGGGUCUAAUUUUUAAUAAACUAGGGUUUAUGUUCUUAAUUAGGUCGUAAGUUUGUUUAAUUAAGAGUUGGUAAUAUAGAGAUUUUGUUUGUUUUUGAAUGUAUGCCCUGUUUAUAUGUGAGCCUGUUUUAUAUGUGUGCUAUGUUUUACAAGUGGGAGCAGAUAAACUGACACAUUGUUGUAAUCGCUCCAUCUGAUGAAUCGGAGCUGCUACAUGGGGUAAGUUUUGGUAGCCUUUUUAGACUAUAUACUGGCCUGCUCAUAGAUUGGUGAUCAACACUAGAUGUAUUUUAAAAUUUGUGCAAGGUGAAAGUAUAACCGAAGAUCAACACUAGUUAUGAGUUAUGACUAUGAGCUUCCCCUAAUCUUGUUAUUUUGAGAUUAUUUGGUAUGACAAGCACAUGUUUGUGUUGGUUGUGUCUUUCUGUUUUGUUUUUUAGAGUCACUUAAUUCUGUUAAUGUUCUUAAAGUAUAUUAUCUUAUAAUACCAGAACUAAACUACUUCGCUGAGCAGUGGAUGAGUUUCAGUUACCCAGUUUUCAUUUUGAUGGACUGUCCCGUGUUUUUGAUGAUGUAAUAUAUUUCACUUUUUCUGCUGAUAACAUUGUCGAUAGUAUGAAAAUAUGUAAUAUUGUAUACCAUUCCAUUGGUGGAGCCAGAUGUUAGCGGAACAUGAGCAAUCUUUCUGUAUACACGUGUCUUAACAUCCUGGAAACUAAUUUAAUACUUAAUAAUUCAUGACUAUUUUCUAGCACUUGAUCAUCUAGCUUAGAAGCCAGAGAGUGUAAAGCAGAAUACAGUAUCAAAUAGGACAUUGUCUUAAAAACCAUAUUAAUCCCAAUUUGUUGUCUUAGUAUAUACAACAUUCAGUAUUAACUGUAGAGGCUUUCCCUUGCUCCUCUCGAUACGCUGCUGUACCUGUGCCACAGGUUUUUCUAUAGUAGGAACAGUUAUAACCUUAAUGUUUGCCAAGUUAUAUUGGCACAUUCAUCAUUCUUAGUGUGCCUUUCCCGGCUUUCCAUAAAAUUCUCUUUUAGAAGUGUGUUGCUGAAUAUAAGGCCCUAGUGUAGUGUAGCUUUUUAUUUUUUUUUCUUUUGGUCUUCUUUAACUAAUUAUGCUUUAGGGAGAUAACAGAUUAAUUAUAAUUUAAUUAAGUUAAUAGAGUUAAAACCAAAAUUUAGUUGUAUAUGUUAAUAGAUUAAUUUUUUUUCUUGUAGUGAAUUAUAUUUGGCUAAACCACAUGUAGUCGAUUAAUUGACUAUAUAUGGCUUUUAGCAGGUAUGUGACUGCUGGAACUAGUUGGUUGAAUGGUAACUUUGGUAACGUGGCAAAGGCUGGUGGUACAAAAACUAGAGCAAAAUGGAGUAUGGCGUUAUCGAAUUUGACUG